RNAcentral lists this transfer RNA (73 nucleotides) under Camelus bactrianus (Bactrian camel). It matches the Rfam family "tRNA". From Rfam's summary of the family: Transfer RNA (tRNA) molecules are approximately 80 nucleotides in length. The record is from Rfam by way of RNAcentral. RNAcentral also lists the same sequence under 2 other names. Lineage: Eukaryota; Metazoa; Chordata; Mammalia; Artiodactyla; Camelidae.
GAAGGUAUAGCUCAAGUGGUAGAGCACAUGCUUAGUAGGCAUGAGGUCCUUGGUUCAAUUUCCAGUACCUCCA